GUUAAUUAUUUUGAAACCAUUUUUUAAAAACAUUUGUGACUACUAUUGCAACUAACAUGAUAGUCACUACCAUUAUUUUUAAAAUUUAUUAAUAAAGAAAUUAAAAACGUAUAUAGUAUAAUAAAUUGUUGCCUAAAAAAACAAGAACUAACUAUCACUCCUUAAUCCUUAUUAUUCAUAAUCGCAGUACAUACUCUUCUUCCUUUAAAAAAAAACAAACCAAAGGCUUCCAUGGCGAAUUUCAAAACCAAGUUCAGAACUUCAGAGUGAACUUGUUGCCGUCGUUUUCAUCUUCCGUCGCUGCUAGCACAUCUCAUCCCAGGCUAGUUACGUAUUCUUCCCCUUCCUACCGUCCAUUCCAUCUUUCUCUUAAUACAAUUUGAGGUUUUUUGUCCAAUUUUUUAUUUUAUUUUGGUUUCCAUUGCGAAUUGCGGAUCGAUUUUAAUCUAAUUAUUGUUUGAAAUGCGUAUUGAUUGAGUUGUGAAUUGAUUUUAAUCUAAUUAUUGAUUAAAUUGAUUGAAUUGCAAAAUGAUUGAGUUGCGAAUUGAUCUGACUUUAAUUUGGUUUCCAUUUGAAUUGCGUUGAUUGAAUUGAUUUUAAUUUGGCUGCCAAUUGCUUAAUUUAGGGUUAUCAUUGAAGUCAAUUAAUGUGAAACCAUUCAAAAUUGAUUGAUUAUUUAGUUUGUGUAUGCGAGAUAGCUACAAAAUAGCAACCUAGUAUUAAUUUGAAUCGUGAAAGUCCGUUAUUUUCCAUAUUCAUUAUUUGUUAUGUAAAAAUAAAAAGUACAUUUACCCCACCAUCAUCUGCAUCAAAUUAUUAGUUAAUGCACAAUGAAGUGCUCAAUUGGAUAUAUAAUAGUAGAAUUGACUAAACAAAACUGAAAGCCUCGCUGAUGCACAAGUUUUAUAUUGAGAAAUGGACUACAACAAACAUGUCAUGUAUAUGUAAUGUAAUUAUGAUUCUUGUUUUCCCAUUUCCUAAUUAAGGUUAAAUGAAACAGAUUUGCAAUGGUUAGAUUUAUGACAGUUAAGCUGUGAAAGUAUUGUGAGCGGAGUUGAGGUUAUCUAUGUUUUGGUUGGGGUUUAUAAAAUCAAUUCCACUAACUGAAUAGUAGAUUUCCAUACUUAUUGCAGUCCUUGUGUGUGUUAUUGUUAGUAAUACAUUUGGUGAUGGAGUGGUACCAAAUUUUCGAAAAAUGGUUCAUUGAUGUAUAUUAUUUGCUGUAGAAAUGAUUCAUUGGUUUAUAAUAUAAAUGCCUCGUAAAGCUGGGUGAUCCACACUACAGGGACGGUUGCAAAUUCUUGCUAAUAGUGGCAUAAGACUCAUCUUAGCUUUGGGUUUACCUUUCAUUCUUGUCUGAUCUCUUUGUUUAAUUUUUUUUUUAUUUGUGUGCAAGGGAAUUACUUAAUAAACUAAUUGGCUACAAGAGGGUUGGAAUUACAACACUUUGUGAUACAAUCUCUCAUUCAACUGCUGUGUAGGCUCACAAAGUUUAAUUUGGUAGGUUUGAUGAUUAUAGAUUCAGGGACGUGGUAAAAGAGUCCAUGAGCUUUCUUAGCUAGGUGCUUAUUGUUGUAAAUAUGCUUGUUGAUUUCAUUUGUAAGGUUGACGCAGUACUCAAGAGCAGGUGUUUAGUAGAUAAGUCUUGAUGCUUCCUUUUAGUUUUUGGCUAAAGCUUGUUCCAAUUAGCUUGCACUUCACAUAAAUUAGUUCUCACACUAACAUAGUAGCUUCAAGGAAAUGGUCUUUCCUGUAAGAAAAAACAAAAACAAAAAAAUAAAAGAAAUGUUCUUCAGAAGAGGAGAUGACAAACAGAACACUAACAUACACACACACACACACAGCUAAAACUCUUUCUCUUUCUACUACACACACACAGCUAGAACAAGUGGAUUUGAGUCCAUGAUUUGUGAUCCAUGAUAUACAAUUAUAAUCUUAUUAAAAAUUAAAGCAAUCUCAAAUUUACUGAAAAUGUUUAAUAAUACUCUCUAUAUUUCGAAUCUGGUUUCAAGUGUUAUUGAUUGUUCUUAUCUAUAGUCUUAUUAAGGGUUUUUUAAUUUUAUUACUUUGUAUGCUGGAAAAUAAGUCCUUUUGUGCCUAUUUUAUGAUUUGAAAUAUUUAGUAGGUACUAGGCUCAGCUGCAAAAAAAACUUAAUAUACCUGGCUGUAAUGGCCGAUGCUCAACCGCCAGCGACCAGCAUCAUAAGCAUACAUAUACUUGGAGACCUGAGUUUGAGGAAAGCCAAAAAAUGGCGGCAGAAAGUUUAAAAUAUGCCAAGGAAAUUGCUGAAAAUCAUGAGAUAGAAAAAGCAACAUGAAAGAAGAAAAAAAAUUGCUAUGCACAAAACAUCGAAGGAUAUUACAACCCUUGUCCAACAUUACUGUCUUACUAAGCCUCCUACGUCUACUCUCACCCGCUCUCGUGAUACAUCUAAGUGAUUUUUAAUUUCUUGGUGAUAAUUUUGUGAACAACUAAUCUUCAAUACAUAUUUGUAUAUCGUUAUUAGUAUUUAUUGGAAGUAGUUUAUAUGAGAGGUGAUUUUGAAAAAAAUUAGUCGUAUGGUUGAGAAUGUUGUUUUUUAAUACAUUGAUACAAAACUGAUGAUAAUUUUGAUUUAUUAAUAUGGUUUGGAUAUUUGAAUAAAUUUGACAUUUUUUUUUGUGA
Chenopodium quinoa (quinoa) is the source of this 2665-nucleotide long non-coding RNA. RefSeq lists it as uncharacterized. NCBI's taxonomy places the organism in Eukaryota, Viridiplantae, Streptophyta, Magnoliopsida, Caryophyllales, Amaranthaceae. The record is from RefSeq and is a predicted model, not a curated record. The transcript has 2 exons.